UUUCCUACGGGAGGCAGCAGUCGGGAAUAUUGCGCAAUGGAGGAAACUCUGACGCAGUGACGCCGCGUAUAGGACGAAGGUCUUCGGAUUGUAAACUAUUGUCGUUAGGGAAGAGAAAGGACAGUACCUAAGGAGGAAGCUCCGGCUAACUACGUGCCAGCAGCCGCGGUAAUACGUAGGGAGCAAGCGUUAUCCGGAUUUAUUGGGUGUAAAGGGUGUGUAGACGGCGUGCCAAGUCUGGUGUGAAAGGCCGGGGCUCAACCCCGGGACUGCAUUGGAAACUGGCAUGCUGGAGUGCCGGAGGG
This 305-nucleotide ribosomal RNA is filed under the name uncultured bacterium. Its description in RNAcentral is "bacterial SSU rRNA". It matches the Rfam family "Bacterial small subunit ribosomal RNA", at positions 335 to 656 of the family's 1533-position model. The record is from RNAcentral.